This 220-nucleotide ribosomal RNA is filed under the name uncultured bacterium. RNAcentral's name for it is "partial 16S ribosomal RNA". It matches the Rfam family "Bacterial small subunit ribosomal RNA", at positions 57 to 305 of the family's 1533-position model. The record is from RNAcentral.
GCAAGUCGAGCGCGCCCUUCGCUGUGAGCGGCGGACGGGUGAGUAACGCUUGGUAAUAUGCCCUUCUCUAAGGAAUAGCCUCUGGAAACGGAGAGUAAUACCUUAUACGCCCUUUGGGGGAAAGAUUUAUCGGAGAAGGAUUAGCCCGCGUUAGAUUAGGUAGUUGGUGGGGUAAUGGCCUACCAAGCCUACGAUCUAUAGCUGGUUUGAGAGGAUGAGC